UCUUCAGGGUUCUUCCCUAUCCUUUCCAAUAAAACCCAAUAUUCAGUAUAUAGUUUCCAGAUCAUGACUGAGCCUAAAAUGAGAGGCAUUUAGGGCCACUGCCCCAGAUGAGAGGGCUUCCCUGGUGGCUCAGUGGUUGAUCUGGGUAAUGUAUCUCAAUUCAGAGUGAGAAAUUCUGAGACCAAGCAGGGAAAAGAUGUGUGAUGGAGGUAUUACUGAAGUGUUUCGCUGGGUAUGAGAUAAGCAAGAGGAGAAUUCCUGAGUUCUGGACCCUACUCUACCCCUAACAACCUGUGGGACUUGAGGUGAGUUGCUUAAUCAUUAGC
Long non-coding RNA from Bos taurus (domestic cattle), 326 nucleotides. The record is from Ensembl. Lineage: Eukaryota; Metazoa; Chordata; Mammalia; Artiodactyla; Bovidae.